RNAcentral lists this ribosomal RNA (443 nucleotides) under uncultured bacterium. Its description in RNAcentral is "partial 16S ribosomal RNA". It matches the Rfam family "Bacterial small subunit ribosomal RNA", at positions 338 to 795 of the family's 1533-position model. The record is from RNAcentral.
CCUACGGGAGGCAGCAGUGGGGAAUAUUGGGCAAUGGGCGCAAGCCUGACCCAGCAACGCCGCGUGAAGGAAGAAGGCUUUCGGGUCGUAAACUUCUUUCCUCAGGGACGAAGCUAGUGACGGUACCUGAGGAAUACCCCACGGCUAACUACGUGCCAGCAGCCGCGGUAAUUCGUAGGUGGCAAGCGUUAGCCGGUUUUACGGGGUGUAAAGGGCGAGAAGGCGGGGCUGCAAGUCAGAUGUGAACACCAUGGGCUCAACCUAUGGCCUGCAUUUGAAACUGUAGUGCUUGAGUGCUGGAGGGGCAGACGGAAUUCCUGGUGUAGCGGUGAAAUGCGUAGAUAUUAGGAGGAACACCAGUGGCGAAGGCGGUCUGCUGGACAGCAACUGACGUUGAGGCGCGAAAGCGUGGGGAGCAAACAGGAUUAGAUACCCGGGUAGUC